This is a long non-coding RNA of Homo sapiens (human), 780 nucleotides long. The record is from Ensembl. Lineage: Eukaryota; Metazoa; Chordata; Mammalia; Primates; Hominidae.
CAGUGGGGUGAGGAACCCUGCCUUAAUCUGCUUCUCAGUCAUCUGUGGACCACACCUACACCAGCGCUUCCUUCUGCGCAUCCUAUGGCACCUGUCUACUUCCUGUUUUGGGAAUCCCCACAGAGGCUAGCACAGUGCUGAACUUGUAAAAAGUACGCAAUAAAUGAUCCUCUUCCUGAACGACAUUGGAUGAUAAUAAAAUCUCUUGUGAGAGAGAGGCAAAGUUGGACAUCCCAAAGAUGGCAUAGAUAAACAUGACCAGGAAGAGCAGGAGGCCGAUGUUAAACAACGCAGGAAGGGACAUCAUCAAAGCAAAGAGCAGCGUGCGGAUCCCCUUUGCUCCUUUGAUCAGACGUAGGAUUCGGCCAAUCCUGGCAAGACGGAUCACUCGGAACAAGCACGCGGAACACAAUCAGGAAGGAGUGGAAGAAGUCGUUCAUGUGCCACCGUGGGAGCGUACAGUCAUCAUUGAUCUUGCAGACACAUUCUUUGUAGCUCUUACCAAAGAGCUGCAUGCCGACCACAGCAAAAAUGAAGACGAUGAUGGCCAACACCAAGGUGAGGUUUCCUAGAGCCCCCACAGAAUUGCCAAUGAUCUUAAUUAGCAUAUUUAGUGUGGGCCAGGAUUUUGCCAACUUGAAAACUCUAAGCUGUAAUCAAGUGAAAAGAUGCUGUUAGUAGUAAUCAUAAUAUAAUUUUAGACAUUAUUUUAUUAGUAUGUGGUAUCAUAGAACCACACGUGGUAGAUGUAAAAACUCAAAAUAUACUGAACUGAUUCAA